CUACGGGAGGCAGCAGUGAGGAAUAUUGCGCAAUGGGGGAAACCCUGACGCAGCGACGCCGCGUGGAUGAUGAAGGCCUUCGGGUCGUAAAAUCCUGUCAGAAGGAAAGAAGUAUAUGGUAGCUAAUAUCUGCCAUAUUUGACGGUACCUUCAAAGGAAGCACCGGCUAACUCCGUGCCAGCAGCCGCGGUAAUACGGAGGGUGCAAGCGUUGUUCGGAAUUACUGGGCGUAAAGCGCGCGUAGGCGGCUGUUUAAGUCAGAUGUGAAAGCCCAUGGCUUAACCAUGGACGUGCAUUUGAUACUGGGCAGCUUGAGUACUGGAGGGGGUGGUGGAAUUCCCGGUGUAGAGGUGAAAUUCGUAGAUAUCGGGAGGAAUACCGGUGGCGAAGGCGACCACCUGGCCAGAUACUGACGCUGAGGUGCGAAAGCGUGGGGAGCAAACAGGAUUAGAUACCCCCGUAGUC
This 465-nucleotide ribosomal RNA is filed under the name uncultured bacterium. RNAcentral describes it as "partial 16S ribosomal RNA". It matches the Rfam family "Bacterial small subunit ribosomal RNA", at positions 339 to 795 of the family's 1533-position model. The record is from RNAcentral.